GGCGGCGCGUCUUAAGCAUGCAAGUCGAACGGCAAGAGGUAGCAAUACCUCCUAGAGUGGCGGACUGGUGAGUAACACGUGGGUGACAUACCCUUCAGAUGGGGGAUAGCUAUUAGAAAUAGUAGAUAAUACCGAAUACGAGCACAGGGGUUAGAGAUCUGUGAGGAAAGGAGCUAAGGCUCCGCUGAAGGAAUGGCCUGCGGCCCAUUAGCUAGUUGGUGAGGUAAGAGCCCACCAAGGCGAUGAUGGGUAUCCGGCCUUAGAGGGUGAACGGACACAUUGGGACUGAGAUACGGCCCAGACUCCUACGGGAGGCAGCAGCUAAGAAUAUUCCGCAAUGGACGAAAGUCUGACGGAGCGACGCCGCGUGGAUGAAGAAGGCCGGAAGGUUGUAAAAUCCUUUUGAAACUGAAGAAUAAGCGUUGUAGGGAAUGACAGCGUGGUGACAGUAGGUUUUGAAUAAGCAACGGCUAAUUACGUGCCAGCCGCUGC
RNAcentral lists this ribosomal RNA (492 nucleotides) under uncultured bacterium. RNAcentral describes it as "bacterial SSU rRNA". It matches the Rfam family "Bacterial small subunit ribosomal RNA", at positions 38 to 518 of the family's 1533-position model. The record is from RNAcentral.